Molecule: small nuclear RNA, 107 nt
Filed under: Microcebus murinus (gray mouse lemur)
Lineage: Eukaryota; Metazoa; Chordata; Mammalia; Primates; Cheirogaleidae
Source: RNAcentral
GUGCUCGCUUUGGCAGCACAUAUACUGAAAUUGGAAUGAUUCAGAGAAGAUUAGCAUGGCCCCUGUGCAAGGAUGACAUGCAAAUUUGUGAAGUAUUCCUUUAAAAA